AACGAACGCUGGCGGCAUGCUUAACACAUGCAAGUCGAACGAGACCUUCGGGUUUCGUGGCGCACGGGUGCGUAAAGCCUGGGAACCUGCCCUUAGGUUCGGAAUCACCACCCGAAAGGGGUUCUAAUAACGGCUAAUGUCUUCGGACCAAAGAAUUAUCGCCUUUGGAUGGGCCCUCGUUGGUUUUGCUAGUUGGUAGGGUACAAGCCUACCAAGGCGACGUUCCAUAGCUGUUCUGAGAGGAGGAUCAGCCACACGGGGACUGGGACACGGCCCAGACUCCAACGGGAGGAGGCAGGGGGGAAUAUUGGACAAGGGGCGAAAGCCGGAGCCAGCAAGGCCGCGUGAGUGAGGAAGGCCUUAGGGUUGGAAAGCUCUUUUACGCAGGAGGAGAAUGACAGUACCGGGAGAAUAAGGUCCGGCUAACUCCGUG
This 433-nucleotide ribosomal RNA is filed under the name uncultured bacterium. Its description in RNAcentral is "partial 16S ribosomal RNA". It matches the Rfam family "Bacterial small subunit ribosomal RNA", at positions 29 to 507 of the family's 1533-position model. The record is from RNAcentral.